This 253-nucleotide ribosomal RNA is filed under the name uncultured bacterium. RNAcentral describes it as "partial 16S ribosomal RNA". It matches the Rfam family "Bacterial small subunit ribosomal RNA", at positions 524 to 776 of the family's 1533-position model. The record is from RNAcentral.
GACGAACCACACAAACGUUAUUCGGAAUUACUGGGCGUAAAGGGCGCGUAGGCGGCCUGCUAAGUCGGAUGUGAAAUCCCUCGGCUCAACCGAGGAACUGCAUCCGAUACUGGCGGGCUUGAAUCCGGGAGAGGGAUGUGGAAUUCCAGGUGCAGCGGUGAAAUGCGUAGAUAUCUGGAGGAACACCGGUGGCGAAGGCGGCAUCCUGGACCGGUAUUGACGCUGAGGCGCGAAAGCUAGGGGAGCAAACGGG